RNAcentral lists this long non-coding RNA (1227 nucleotides) under Accipiter nisus (Eurasian sparrowhawk). RNAcentral's name for it is "lncRNA (ENSANIG00000010601.1)". The record is from RNAcentral. Lineage: Eukaryota; Metazoa; Chordata; Aves; Accipitriformes; Accipitridae.
AUGGAGGGCGUCCGGGACAUCCUGCCGGGACCGAGCGGGUCCCCGCGGCCCCGCUGCUCCCUCCGACACGCCGCCCUGCACGGCAAAGGGACGGGCGUCAGCCGGCCCCGCGCCGCCGGCACCCCCGGUCACCCCGACUGCCCCCGCGGACGGGGAUGGAGCCGGUGCCGGUGCCGCUGCGUGCGGGAGCCCGGGGCAGGCGGGAGCGCAAGGGGCCGCGGGGCUAAACGCGGGUGUAAACACGGGGCGAGGAACGGGGCCAGCCCGGCCCGGCGGCCCAGCAGGCGGGGAGCCGCGGCAGGAGCAGGAAGGAAGGCGGGCGGAUGGGGGAGGCGGCGCAGCGUCCGCCGAGCAGGUCCUGCCCGCGGCGGAGGUGGGGUUCGGGCUCGCACCGUCCCGGCCCCGGGGCUGAGCCGGAGGACCCCGCCCGCCGUUCCGGGGCAGGGCUCUGCCGGGGAAGGGCACGGCAGGAUCCGCAGCCCCGGGGCGGGCGAGGCGGCCCCGGCGGGAGGACGCACCUCUGUGCCCCCCCCCACCCCGCCCGCGCCGUCCCGGGGCCGGAGAGCGGCUCCGCCGGGGCCGCGCCGCCCGCCGGGGCCCCAGCGCCUUCUCCUUCCUCCCCUCCCUCUCCCCCUCCAUCGCCCUCAGGCUUCGCAGUCCUCCCGGGGCGGACUAAGGCUGCUCCGGGCGGGCGGCGGCGGGCUCCCGGCCACCCCGCCCGCGCUCCCUGCACCGCCGGGAGUCCCCGGCAGCCCCCCGCCCGCCCCGGUACCAGGAGCCGACGGAGACGCGUCCCGGGGCUCCCUCCGCCCGCGCCGGCUAAGCGCCGCGGCUCGGCGUGGGUGCGAAGCCGGCCCCGUCCAGCAGCGGGGAGGGCGGGGGGGAAGCACCGACCCCCCCCCCCCAAGCCCCGCCCAGCCCUCCUGCCGCCUCCCGGUACCGGGGGAGGCGGGAGCUGCCCUCGCAGAGCCCCUCCUUUCCCCUCCGGCCGCGCUCACCGGGACCCGCCGCCGGCCGGACCGUGGGGCUGCGACUCGCGGGAGCACGGGCUCGGGGGCGCGGGGCCGGGCCCGACCGGCGGCACAAAGCUGGUCGGGAGCCGCCGGGCGCUCCCCCGUCCCCACGGCGCUGCCCGGUGCCACGGGUGCUGCGCCGGGGCCACGCAGCUGCGGUACAGGGAGGGGGGACGGGGGGCGGCUGACCGGCCUCUCCGCUGCGCCGGGCUGA